Molecule: ribosomal RNA, 497 nt
Filed under: uncultured bacterium
Lineage: Bacteria
Description: partial 16S ribosomal RNA
Rfam family: Bacterial small subunit ribosomal RNA
Source: RNAcentral
GAUGAACGCUGGCGGCGUGCCUAAUACAUGCAAGUCGAGCGAACAGACGAGGAGCUUGCUCCUCUGACGUUAGCGGCGGACGGGUGAGUAACACGUGGAUAACCUACCUAUAAGACUGGGAUAACUUCGGGAAACCGGAGCUAAUACCGGAUAACAUGUUGAACCGCAUGGUUCAACAGUGAAAGACGGUCUUGCUGUCACUUAUAGAUGGAUCCGCGCCGCAUUAGCUAGUUGGUAAGGUAACGGCUUACCAAGGCAACGAUCCGUAGCCGACCUGAGAGGGUGAUCGGCCACACUGGAACUGAGACACGGUCCAGACUCCUACGGGAGGCAGCAGUAGGGAAUCUUCCGCAAUGGGCGAAAGCCUGACGGAGCAACGCCGCGUGAGUGAAGAAGGUCUUCGGAUCGUAAAACUCUGUUACUAGGGAAGAACAAAUGUGUAAGUAACUAUGCACGUCUUGACGGUACCUAAUCAGAAAGCCACGGCUAACUACGUG